RNAcentral lists this ribosomal RNA (425 nucleotides) under uncultured bacterium. RNAcentral describes it as "partial 16S ribosomal RNA". It matches the Rfam family "Bacterial small subunit ribosomal RNA", at positions 354 to 796 of the family's 1533-position model. The record is from RNAcentral.
GUGGGGAAUCUUAGACAAUGGGCGCAAGCCUGAUCUAGCCAUGCCGCGUGAGCGAUGAAGGCCUUAGGGUUGUAAAGCUCUUUCGUGGGGGAAGAUAAUGACUGUACCCCAAGAAGAAGCCCCGGCUAACUCCGUGCCAGCAGCCGCGGUAAUACGGAGGGGGCUAGCGUUGUUCGGAAUUACUGGGCGUAAAGCGCACGUAGGCGGACUGGAAAGUCAGGGGUGAAAUCCCGGGGCUCAACCCCGGAACUGCCUUUGAAACUCCUGGUCUUGAGGUCGAGAGAGGUGAGUGGAAUUCCGAGUGUAGAGGUGAAAUUCGUAGAUAUUCGGAGGAACACCAGUGGCGAAGGCGGCUCACUGGCUCGAUACUGACGCUGAGGUGCGAAAGCGUGGGGAGCAAACAGGAUUAGAUACCCCAGUAGUCC